UAAGAGAUUUUGUUUAAUGUUUUAUUAAAUAACAUGCUUUCCCUAAAUAGGUUUGCGAAUGUACAAUGAUGUUCAUAUAUUUUAUACUACAUGUAUCUUGUCACUACACAUGCACGUGAGCCUUGCUGACUUCUAAGAAAAUGACUGGCAUAAGGAGGGUGCCACAGGAAACCUCACCUUUGCUGAGUUAGCUGAGUCUGCCGUUGGGAACAGGAACCAACUGGCUUCUGUUGCCCUUAAGAUAGGCUUGACCAGUUCCUUACUGACAGUUGAACGUAUAUGUUUUAUGCUUGUGUAAGGAGUGGUAUGUUAUCUCUUCCUACAUGUGUCUGUGACGCAAACAUGCUUGAGUAUAAAUAAAGCUGACUCCAAAGCCUCGGGACGGAGCCGCCGGAUCCUGACGUCGUGACUACCUGCACUGUAAACCACCGCUUCUAGCGAAGCAAGGAAAAGCCCAGAGUCGUAAAUUCGCCUAUUGGCCAGUGUCUUAUACAGGUCCACGACGACAGGACUCGGUGACGCCGGAAAAA
Oreochromis niloticus (Nile tilapia) is the source of this 530-nucleotide long non-coding RNA. RefSeq lists it as uncharacterized. The transcript has 2 exons. The record is from RefSeq and is a predicted model, not a curated record. NCBI's taxonomy places the organism in Eukaryota, Metazoa, Chordata, Actinopteri, Cichliformes, Cichlidae.